GUUGAGAGUUGAGGUAGCGGAGGACGUGGGUUGCCGUCGCGGUGCUGCGAGGUUGGAACGAUUGAAAUAAGAAGGGCCUAAAAAGGGAAAAAUAUUUGGAAUAGGUAUCUGACUGGCCCGCAUUUUUGUGAGACCGUAGAGAGGCCCUGAAACAGCAAUGAUCACUGACGUGCAGCUGGCAGUGUUUGUCAACCUGCUGGGAGUCUCCCUCUUUUUGCUGGUGGUUGCAUACCAUUAUGUUGCAGCCAACAACCCUAAGCAUGCCUAAUAACUGAUUGCUGGUUGCUGCGGCAGUGGAACUACUGCUGCGAGUCUCGGGGAAAUGCUCUACCCAUCUGCCACCGCACACAGCUCUGCACGCGGGCGCAUUCCGGUCGGUGUGCGCCAUUCCAUGUCACAUUUGGUGGGGUCCGUUUCAGUGAUACUUUGCUUAUGAUUGCAAAUAAAACGUGUGAAAACUG
This 461-nucleotide long non-coding RNA is filed under the name Amphibalanus amphitrite. Its description in RNAcentral is "uncharacterized LOC122369411". The record is from RNAcentral. Lineage: Eukaryota; Metazoa; Arthropoda; Thecostraca; Balanomorpha; Balanidae.